Molecule: long non-coding RNA, 519 nt
Organism: Salvelinus namaycush (lake trout)
Lineage: Eukaryota; Metazoa; Chordata; Actinopteri; Salmoniformes; Salmonidae
Exons: 3
Source: RefSeq, a predicted model, not a curated record
UGAAGGUGAACCACUGUCACAACGUGACUGAGUCCAGUCUGGACCCCCUGCGGAAGAGGAACGUUGAGAUUGACGUGGAGCCACCACUACAGAGGGCCCUUGUGCUGCUGCAGGAUGUGGUGGGGUUCGCUCCCUUCAUCAACCUCCAGAUCUAGGCUAAAGUACAUCUGUAUUACUCAUCCAACCAACUGGAAACAGGUUUUCCUCCACUAGGAGAAUGACCUGUUUCAAUUGAAACACACCCUGUGUGCUGGGACGUCAAUUAAGCAAUUCAAGGACAAACAAAAACGGAUGUAUAUGGGAAAUAUAUUGUAGAACUUGUCUCUUAUUUAUUACAGUGAUGUUGCAGAUUAUAAUUAUGCACUUAGGAAAAGACUGAAGGAAGCCAUGCACUUUUCAGUAACGCUGUCAUGAGUCCAAAAGAUUCCUGCAGUAUUUAUUUGUAUUUCAUCACACCCUAACAACACUUUAGAUGUUCUUGUGAUCUAUAGCUUUAGAAAAGGACCAUUCCAACCAAAG